Molecule: long non-coding RNA, 1115 nt
Organism: Gasterosteus aculeatus aculeatus (three-spined stickleback)
Lineage: Eukaryota; Metazoa; Chordata; Actinopteri; Perciformes; Gasterosteidae
Source: Ensembl
GUCACAUCGAGCCAAGUUGUCUGUCAGGUGCUGCAUGUACACCUCCUCCAGCUGCUUCUCCAGCAGCCCAUUCAACAACGAGUUAGACAUGGGCUCCAAACCUGCCUCGGACAGAUCAAAGCUGAUGUUCACACUGGGCCCCAUGGCCAGAUAACCCUGGUCUGGUAUGGAGGAGACGGGUUGGGUUGCCCCUUCUGGCACACGGCAGGACUCAGGGGCAGAGGAGUAAAGGGCGUGCUGGGGAAUGGUGGCUACCUGCACGUCGGGAUACUGUUCCAGGAGGCUGCAGUUGUCCAAGCAAACCACGAAGUCCGGGUCCGGGAGGAGGACCGGGGGACAGCCAGGGAUUAGGAGGCCUACAGGACCGUCAGGCACCACGUUUAGUCCCCUGCAUUGGGCGCGGCCUAGUUCCACCUUGCUCGGACCUGCAAACAGAAAGCUGCUCACCUCUGUUAGCUGAAUCUGUCUGUAGGUCUGUGGAGUCAGAGAGAAGGACGCUGAACUGAUCCGCAGCGUGUGCCUGCAAACUAGCCAGCUGGGGAGAAGAGACGAGCGCUCCGUCCUCCCUCCUGUAACGCAGCACUCUGAGGAAACCUUCGGCCAACAUGGCACAGAGCGAUAAAUGUUCGGUCCCUUUUUCAACCUUGUGAAUGUCGCUCUUGACUGCGAAUGGCAAGUCUCAUUGCAAACGUUGUCGUUAAGCUCUACUAGCUUGUUUCACUUCUGCAACUAUGAACUGGCCCCUACCAGUUACUUCCUUUAUUAGACGGCGAAUGAAAAUCCCAGUUUAGAGAAAGGAGGACAGGAAAUGUAUAGUCAGGCUGAAAAACUAUUUAAAAGUACCAACACAACAUCUGAAGAUAUUACAUUAUAAGUACGAGUCCUACAUAAAAGAUCAUUUUUUAAAUAUAAGUUAAUCAGUAUUGCUAGUAGUACAAGUAUUUUUUUAUAUAUAUUUAUUAUUAUUAAGUUUAUCCUGAUGCACAGGUGUGUACAUAAGCACGUUGAGUUGGAUCUACUUUAUGUGCAGGCAGGUAGCGGGGCCCCCUUCAAAGGGUCAAAAGAUGAAUCUGAGGGGUCCUAAGACAAUCAAUAGAGAAGGGAAGUAAAAAAAA